CAGUCGCCACGGUAAUACGAAGGGGGCUAGCGUUGCUCGGAGUCACUGGGCGUAAAGGGCGCGUAGGCGGAUCUUUAAGUCAGAGGUGAAAGCCCAAGGCUCAACCUUGGAAUUGCCUCUGAUACUGGGGAUCCCGAGGCCGGUAGAGGUAAGUGGAACUGCGAGUGUAGAGGUGAAAUUCGUAGAUAUUCGCAAGAACACCAGUGGCGAAGGCGGCUUACUGGACCGGUUCUGACGCUGAGGCGCGAAAGCGUGGGGAGCAAACAGGAUUAGAUACCCCGUAGUCCCUGUCUCUUAUACA
RNAcentral lists this ribosomal RNA (301 nucleotides) under uncultured bacterium. Its description in RNAcentral is "partial 16S ribosomal RNA". It matches the Rfam family "Bacterial small subunit ribosomal RNA", at positions 509 to 808 of the family's 1533-position model. The record is from RNAcentral.